AGAUUGAACGCUGGCGGCAUGCCUAACACAUGCAAGUCGAACGGCAGCGCGGGUAGCAAUACCUGGCGGCGAGUGGCGGACGGGUGAGGAAUACAUCGGAAUCUACCCAGUCGUGGGGGAUAACGCAUCGAAAGGUGCGCUAAUACCGCAUACGACGGAGACGUGAAAGCGGAGGACCGUAAGGCUUCGCGCGAUUGGAUGAGCCGAUGUCGGAUUAGCUAGUCGGCGGGGUAAGAGCCCACCAAGGCGACGAUCCGUAGCUGGUCUGAGAGGAUGAUCAGCCACACUGGGACUGAGACACGGCCCAGACUCCUACGGAGCAGCAGUGGGGAAUA
Molecule: ribosomal RNA, 335 nt
Filed under: uncultured soil bacterium
Lineage: Bacteria
Description: bacterial SSU rRNA
Rfam family: Bacterial small subunit ribosomal RNA
Source: RNAcentral